This 219-nucleotide ribosomal RNA is filed under the name uncultured bacterium. RNAcentral's name for it is "partial 16S ribosomal RNA". It matches the Rfam family "Bacterial small subunit ribosomal RNA", at positions 112 to 334 of the family's 1533-position model. The record is from RNAcentral.
AAUGCAUAGGAAUCUGCCCAGUAGUGGGGGAUAACUCGGAGAAAUCCGAGCUAAUACCGCAUAUGUCCUACGGGACAAAGCAGGGGACCUUCGGGCCUUGCGCUAUUGGAUGAGCCUAUGUCGGAUUAGCUAGUUGGUAGAGUAAAAGCCUACCAAGGCGACGAUCCGUAGCUGGUCUGAGAGGAUGAUCAGCCACACUGGAACUGAGACACGGUCCAG